CCGCGUCCGUGGCCGUGACGAGUGGAGUCUCCGAGCCGGCCGAGUCUCUGUGCGGCAGUUCCUGCAUGUGUGGUGCGUGGGAGCUGCGUCUCCACAGGCUACAAAGCCGGUCACUUCCAGGUUGUUAGCAGCGUGCAUGUAGCUAGGGAUUAGCUAGGUAGUUAGUGCAUGGGUUAGUGGCCGAUCUGGCCGGCUGGACUGUGCGUGCCUCUGCGUAUUAAAGUGGCCACGGUGCUAGUGUGUAGGUGCGCCAGAGAAGAGAGAUGUAGCCUCUCGGAGUGUAUGUGUGCUCGUCGUGGGGUGGUGUGUGUGCCUCGAGUUCGUGCUCGAGGGAAGUGAAAGCUGUUCGUGCGGCUGCGGCGUUCGUGCGCCGGAAAAUCUUCCGUGUGUCCACUGUCUUCUUUCUUCCUCCUUCUUCUUCUUCAUUGUGGCAUAGUGAGAGCGAGAGGGAGGUGCAGAGAGAGAGCGAGAGGCAGGCCGCGGCAGCAACAGUUCCUACGCCAGCUUAGCAACUACUGCCUGCUGGGACGAUUAAUCUUUCUACUCGUGUCUUGGUAUACACGAUUUUCUUUCUUCGUCAGCAGUUCGUCUAUCUCUCGCACUGAUGGAUUUUAGAGUGGCCAGGUCGAUUUUGCACAAUUGAACCUUUUUUCUCUGCCUUAUCUUCCAGGUAUAUAUUUAUGUGCUGCUUUAUGCCGAUGGGGAUUUCCUUAUCUUAGAAAAGUGUAAUGUAGGCAAAUAGUUCUGGGGGAUUACAAGGUCAACUGCUCAAUUCAUAUGGAUACGGUUCAGCAUCUACAGUGAAAUCACAAGGGAGGAGGGGCAUCAAGGUAGGCGACAUAGUUGCUGCUGAGAGACCAUAUAACUCCAACUCUGUGCUAAAUCUGCAGUUCUGCAUGGACGUUCGGGGCAAGAAUGAGAACUGCCGCUAUAGCCAUCCCUCACUAUCCUACAGCACAAUUGUGGAGAAUCACCUCAGUUUAAUUUUUCUCACCAUGCUUCACUUCCAUUCAGUGUAGUGGAUUCUAGCUAUUUGAGAGAGAAACAUGACAUUCGGCAGAUCUUUGAUUCUUCGUAAAUGGAAGGUGUCAUACAAGUAUGCUUCAUGAAGAAGUACGAUAUAGAUUUGUUUAAUCAGACCUACUUCUAUCAAUGCAAAAUUGUUACAUGACCUACUGGGACAAGAUAUUUUGGUAUCUGGAUAUUGGAUUUCUAUUUUCCUGCAAAGCUACAACCUAUGGCGAUGAAGGAACUAAAACAUGUAGUUGCUAAAAUAAUGCAGUCACCUUUGUUCUUUUUUUCUAGAUAUAUGGAUAUUGGAUUUACAGUUUGCUGUAGAGGUAUAAGCUAGCGCUUGCCUCGGUUUUUAUUAGGGUGCCUGUAUCUGAGAUUGCGACGUUAGACAACAUGAAAUUAAUUUCUAGGAUAUUGGU
Molecule: long non-coding RNA, 1433 nt
Organism: Triticum aestivum (bread wheat)
Lineage: Eukaryota; Viridiplantae; Streptophyta; Magnoliopsida; Poales; Poaceae
Exons: 4
Source: RefSeq, a predicted model, not a curated record